Molecule: long non-coding RNA, 931 nt
Filed under: Homo sapiens (human)
Lineage: Eukaryota; Metazoa; Chordata; Mammalia; Primates; Hominidae
Description: HSALNT0249076
Source: RNAcentral
AACAGAGGAGCAGCAUGGCAUGAGAACUCACGUGUUGACUGUCCCUUCACUGCAGUUUGGGGAACAGAACGAGCCACGUGGCCCCAAGGAGACCCAGAUGGAUAUUAAAAUGUCUCCAGAACAAAGCGUGGGGAUCCAUUUUCCUUUCAUGAGCAACGAAUUUCUCUGUGAUACCUAGAAGCUGUUUAGCUAAAUUACAGGAGACAUUCGAACUUCCCAGAGAGAAUUGUGAGGGUUCUGUUGAGAAUCAUCAUGCCAUUUAGCUCAAGGAAACAAGAGGAGGAAGAAAUCAUUAGAGAUGCAGCUGCUUACAUGCAAGAGCAUGUGCACGAAGCCUGGAUACACAGAUGCAUGUGUGCGAGAGAAGGUGUACGGGAUUAGAGAGCUCUGAAUGGCCUCAUAAUAGAAUCCCAGGGGAGGGCCGGAGGUCCCAGGCCAGCGAUGCUCACACGCCCAUCUCCUCCUGUCUGUGCCGCACAAAGCCUGACAAGGCCUCACUCAUGUUUCAAAGCGCUUUCUCUUUUCAGAGCUAUUUGUUAUUGUCUCUGCCAUCACAAGUUUAAAAAAGGAAAGUUAAUUAAAUAUGGAACAAGACUGAGCAACAUCUUUUAAACCAUCAUGUCAUUAGAACUGGAAUCCUUAGAGAGCUGCUUAAAAGGGGUUUGAGAACAAUGACUGUUCAAUCAGAUAUUUAUGGGCAUAGUUAUGUAAACACACUCUUUAUUGUCUAUGUAUAUUUAAUAUAAUUAUCAGUUUUGUAGUUGGACUCUCCAGAGACCCAACAAAUCACAGUGUUGCUUUGAAAAUGUCAGCAGAAAAGACAAUUAUGUUGCUAGCAAAUAUUCAUAAAUUAUAUUAAAAAGUCCUGUGGAAAUGUCCCCAUGUUGCAGAAUCCUUUGCAGGAACUAAAUGAUUCUUGUAUUUCUUUGAU